RNAcentral lists this ribosomal RNA (549 nucleotides) under uncultured bacterium. RNAcentral's name for it is "bacterial SSU rRNA". It matches the Rfam family "Bacterial small subunit ribosomal RNA", at positions 355 to 896 of the family's 1533-position model. The record is from RNAcentral.
UGGGGAAUUUUGGACAAUGGGCGCAAGCCUGAUCCAGCCAUGCCGCGUGUCUGAAGAAGGCCUUCGGGUUGUAAAGGACUUUUGUCAGGGAAGAAAAGGCUGUCGCUAAUACCGACAGCUGAUGACGGUACCUGAAGAAUAAGCACCGGCUAACUACGUGCCAGCAGCCGCGGUAAUACGUAGGGUGCGAGCGCUAAUCGGAAUUACUGGGCGUAAAGCGAGCGCAGACGGUUACUUAAGCAGGAUGUGAAAUCCCCGGGCUCAACCUGGGAGCUGCGUUCUGAACUGGGUGACUAGAGUGUGUCAGAGGGAGGUAGAAUUCCACGUGUAGCAGUGAAAUGCGUAGAGAUGUGGAGGAAUACCGAUGGCGAAGGCAGCCUCCUGGGAUAACACUGACGUUCAUGCUCGAAAGCGUGGGUAGCAAACAGGAUUAGAUACCCUGGUAGUCCACGCCCUAAACGAUGUCAAUUAGCUGUUGGGCAACUUGAUUGCUUAGUAGCGUAGCUAACGCGUGAAAUUGACCGCCUGGGGAGUACGGUCGCAAGAUUA